Molecule: ribosomal RNA, 406 nt
Filed under: uncultured bacterium
Lineage: Bacteria
Description: partial 16S ribosomal RNA
Rfam family: Bacterial small subunit ribosomal RNA
Source: RNAcentral
AUUGAACGCUGGCGGCAGGCUUAACACAUGCAAGUCGAGCGAGCGGCGGACGGGUGAGUAAUGUCUGGGACACUGCCUGAUGGGGGGGGAUAACUACUGGAACCGGUAGCUAAUACCGCAUACCCUCAGAUGUGCCCCGAUGUGAUUGGCUCGUGGGGGGGGUAAAGGAUCAACUAGGCGACGAUCCCUAGCUGGUCUGAGAGGAUGACCAGCCAAACGGGAACUGAGACACGGUCCAGACUCCGACGGGAGGCAGCAGUGGGGAAUAUGGCACAAUGGGCGAAAGCCUGAUGCAGCCAUGCCGCGUGUGGGAAGAAGGCCUUCGGGUUGUAAAGCACGUUCAGCGAGGAGGCGUUACUCGCAGAAGAAGCACCGGCUAACUCCGUGCCAGCAGCCGCGGUAAUUC